This 189-nucleotide ribosomal RNA is filed under the name uncultured bacterium. RNAcentral describes it as "partial 16S ribosomal RNA". It matches the Rfam family "Bacterial small subunit ribosomal RNA", at positions 338 to 524 of the family's 1533-position model. The record is from RNAcentral.
CCUACGGGAGGCAGCAGUGAGGAAUAUUGGUCAAUGGGCGGAAGCCUGAACCAGCCAUCCCGCGUGCAGGAAGACAGCCCUAUGGGUUGUAAACUGCUUUUCCAGUGGGCGAAACACUCGUACGUGUACGAGAUUGACGGUACACUGGGAAUAAGCAUCGGCUAACUCCGUGCCAGCAGCCGCGGUAAU